CCAGAGUAGAGGAGUAGCGUUGGUCUCCUCUUUAGAAAAAGUAGCGCGUCCAUCAUGUCGGACAAAAACAACGCUGUACGAUGCUCCAUCUUCUUGUUUCUCCAAAAUGCCCAGCAGCAGUUGUAGACACUUCUGACGUCUGACACCGACCUGCUGUUGUUGUUGACGGUUGUAUGGGGUCGGAAACAGCGCCGCUGAAAAGACCCAUAUCGCCCCCUAGUGUUGGGGAGGAGGACACGUUCACGUCAAUAAUUCGAUUUUCUCAGCUGCAUGUAAACGAGGACGAGGAGAGAAGUCUGAUUGAUUUCUGA
Xyrichtys novacula (pearly razorfish) is the source of this 311-nucleotide non-coding RNA. NCBI's taxonomy places the organism in Eukaryota, Metazoa, Chordata, Actinopteri, Labriformes, Labridae. The record is from the annotation of a GenBank genome assembly.